AUUGAACGCUGGCGGCAUGCCUUACACAUGCAAGUCGAACGGCAGCACGGGAGCAAUCCUGGUGGCGAGUGGCGAACGGGUGAGUAAUAUAUCGGAACGUGCCCAGUCGUGGGGGAUAACGUAGCGAAAGCUACGCUAAUACCGCAUACGAUCCAUGGAUGAAAGCGGGGGUUCGCAAGACCUCGCGCGAUUGGAGCGGCCGAUAUCAGAUUAGCUAGUUGGUGGGGUAAAAGCCCACCAAGGCGACGAUCUGUAGCUGGUCUGAGAGGACGACCAGCCACACUGGAACUGAGACACGGUCCAGACUCCUACGGGAGGCAGCAGUGGGGAAUUUUGGACAAUGGGCGAAAGCCUGAUCCAGCAAUGCCGCGUGCAGGACGAAGGCCUUCGGGUUGUAAACUGCUUUUGUACGGAGCGAAACGGUCCUCUCUAAUACAGGGGGCUAAUGACGGUACCGUAAGAAUAAGCACCGGCUAACUACGUGCCAGCCGCCGCCGUAA
RNAcentral lists this ribosomal RNA (500 nucleotides) under uncultured bacterium. RNAcentral describes it as "partial 16S ribosomal RNA". It matches the Rfam family "Bacterial small subunit ribosomal RNA", at positions 30 to 523 of the family's 1533-position model. The record is from RNAcentral.